This 438-nucleotide unclassified non-coding RNA is filed under the name Hevea brasiliensis (rubber tree). Lineage: Eukaryota; Viridiplantae; Streptophyta; Magnoliopsida; Malpighiales; Euphorbiaceae. The record is from RNAcentral.
GUCUGUAAUUUAAGCCACCAAAAGUUUUUUGCUUGCUUGUGAGAACUUUAAGAAUUUAAGAUGAGAAAACGAUGGGAAUAUAUGCUUGGUGUUUCCUUUUGAACAUAAGUUAGAAGACACCAUGCGCUAGUAUACCAAAAACCAGGGCAACCUCAUUAAACCAACAGGCAAUAUCAAAUUAGUCAAACUAUGAACGUUAAUAAUGAUAUGAACCUAGUGUUUAACAGAGCUGAAUAGUAAAAAAUUAUUCAUAAAGUUUCAUGUAGUCAACUCUAACUAAUUUAAAAAUAAGGUUUAGUUGUUGUAUGAAUGCUUACAAAGCUAGGUACUGCCCAUCUCUUUCUUGAGCUCAUUGCAGUAGAAGUCUUAUUCCUCUACGGCAUAUGCUUCUUUUCUUUCUCAGUUGUUAAACUAAAAUCUUGGCAAUAAUUUUUUUUU